UUUAUAUUUUUGUAAUGUGUUUUGUUAUUGUCUCUAAUUAAAGAAAUAAGAGGUGGUUUAGAUGAAUAGACACAAUGCAAAAAAUAGCUGAGGAAUUUUAAAAAAAUGUUAACACAACAUACUAACAGAUUUUCAAGUUCGGUUGAGUAAUAUAUGCUCCAGGUGACACAGAUGCUUUAAAGAUGAACAUCAAUUUGUUUGUGACUAAUCCCUCUUUAUUCAAAAAC
Pelobates cultripes (western spadefoot toad) is the source of this 227-nucleotide non-coding RNA. The record is from the annotation of a GenBank genome assembly. NCBI's taxonomy places the organism in Eukaryota, Metazoa, Chordata, Amphibia, Anura, Pelobatidae.